Molecule: ribosomal RNA, 395 nt
Filed under: uncultured bacterium
Lineage: Bacteria
Description: partial 16S ribosomal RNA
Rfam family: Bacterial small subunit ribosomal RNA
Source: RNAcentral
AUACGUAGGUGACAAGCGUUAUCCGGAUUUACUGGGCGUAAAGGGCGUGUAGGCGGUCUUGCAAGUCAGAAGUGAAAUUCCUGAGCUCAACUCGGGCGCUGCUUCUGAAACUGCAGGACUUGAGUGCUGGAGGGGAUAGCGGAAUUCCUAGUGGAGCGGUAAAAUGCGCAGAUAUUAGGAAGAACACCGGUGGCGAAGGCGGCUAUCUGGACAGUAACUGACGCUGAGGCGCGAAAGCGGGGGGAGCAAACAGGAUUAGAUACCCUGGUAGUCCACGCCGUAAACGAUGUAUACUAGGUGUAGGGGGUAUCGACUCCCUCUGUGCCGCAGUUAACACAAUAAGUAUUCCGCCUGGGGAGUACGGCCGCAAGGUUGAAACUCAAAGGAAUUGACGG